GACGAACGCUGGCGGCGUGCUUAACACACGCAAGUCGAACGGAAAGGCCCUGCUUUUGUGGGGUGCUCGAGUGGCGAACGGGUGAGUAACACGUGAGUAACCUGCCCUUGACUUUGGGAUAACUUCAGGAAACUGGGGCUAAUACCGGAUAGGAGCUCCUGCUGCAUGGUGGGGGUUGGAAAGUUUCGGCGGUUGGGGAUGGACUCGCGGCUUAUCAGCUUGUUGGUGGGGUAGUGGCUUACCAAGGCUUUGACGGGUAGCCGGCCUGAGAGGGUGACCGGCCACAUUGGGACUGAGAUACGGCCCAGACCCCUACGGGAGGCAGCAGUGGGGAAUAUUGCACAAUGGGCGGAAGCCUGAUGCAGCAACGCCGCGUGCGGGAUGACGGCCUUCGGGUUGUAAACCGCUUUCGCCUGUGACGAAGCGUGAGUGACGGUAAUGGGUAAAGAAGCACCGGCUAACUACGUG
RNAcentral lists this ribosomal RNA (468 nucleotides) under uncultured bacterium. RNAcentral's name for it is "partial 16S ribosomal RNA". It matches the Rfam family "Bacterial small subunit ribosomal RNA", at positions 28 to 507 of the family's 1533-position model. The record is from RNAcentral.